This 492-nucleotide ribosomal RNA is filed under the name uncultured bacterium. RNAcentral's name for it is "partial 16S ribosomal RNA". It matches the Rfam family "Bacterial small subunit ribosomal RNA", at positions 29 to 507 of the family's 1533-position model. The record is from RNAcentral.
AGUGAACGCUGGCGGUAGGCCUAACACAUGCAAGUCGAACGGCAGCACAGUAAGAGCUUGCUCUUACGGGUGGCGAGUGGCGGACGGGUGAGGAAUACAUCGGAAUCUACUUUUUCGUGGGGGAUAACGUAGGGAAACAUACGCUAAUACCGCAUACGACCUACGGGUGAAAGCAGGGGAUCUUCGGACCUUGCGCGAUUGAAUGAGCCGAUGUCGGAUUAGCUAGUUGGCGGGGUAAAGGCCCACCAAGGCGACGAUCCGUAGCUGGUCUGAGAGGAUGAUCAGCCACACUGGAACUGAGACACGGUCCAGACUCCUACGGGAGGCAGCAGUGGGGAAUAUUGGACAAUGGGCGCAAGCCUGAUCCAGCCAUACCGCGUGGGUGAAGAAGGCCUUCGGGUUGUAAAGCCCUUUUGUUGGGAAAGAAAAGCAGCAGGUUAAUACCCCGCUAUUCUGACGGUACCCAAAGAAUAAGCACCGGCUAACUUCGUG